RNAcentral lists this ribosomal RNA (253 nucleotides) under uncultured bacterium. RNAcentral's name for it is "partial 16S ribosomal RNA". It matches the Rfam family "Bacterial small subunit ribosomal RNA", at positions 524 to 776 of the family's 1533-position model. The record is from RNAcentral.
UACGGAGGGGGCGAGCGUUGUUCGGAUUCAUUGGGCGUAAAGGGUGCGUAGGCGGCGCGGUAAGUCGGGUGUGAAAUCUCGGAGCUUAACUCCGAAACUGCAUUCGAUACUGCCGUGCUUGAGGACUGGAGAGGAGACUGGAAUUUACGGUGCAGCGGUGAAAUGCGUAGAUAUCGUAAGGAAGACCAGUGGCGAAGGCGGGUCUCUGGACAGUUCCUGACGCUGAGGCACGAAGGUCAGGGGAGCAAACGGG